CCCUUAGAUGUUCUGGGCUGCACGCGCGCUACACUGAAGCGUUCAACGAGUAUUCACCUUGCCCGGGAGGGUUGGGUAAUCUUUUGAAAACGCUUCGUGAUGGGGAUAGAUUAUUGCAAUUAUUAAUCUUCAACGAGGAAUUCCUAGUAAGCGCGAGUCAUCAGCUCGUGCUGAUUACGUCCCUGCCCUUUGUACACACCGCCCGUCGCUCCUACCGAUUGAGUGGUCCGGUGAGGCUUUGGGAUCUGGGCGGAAAGAGCGUUUCGCUGUUUCUGCCCGGAAAACUCAGUCGAACCUUAUCAUUUAGAGGAAGGAGAAGUCGUAACA
This 327-nucleotide ribosomal RNA is filed under the name uncultured eukaryote. Its description in RNAcentral is "partial 18S ribosomal RNA". It matches the Rfam family "Eukaryotic small subunit ribosomal RNA", at positions 1470 to 1796 of the family's 1831-position model. The record is from RNAcentral.